GAUGAACGCUGGCGGCGUGCCUAAUACAUGCCAGUCGAGCGAACAGAUGAGGAGCCUGCUCCUCUGACGUUAGCGGCGGACGGGUGAGUAACACGUGGAUAACCUACCUAUAAGACUGGGAUAACUUCGGGAAACCGGAGCUAAUACCGGAUAAUAUAUUGAACCGCAUGGUUCAAUAGUGAAAGACGGUUUUGCUGUCACUUAUAGAUGGAUCCGCGCCGCAUUAGCUAGUUGGUAAGGUAACGGCUUACCAAGGCAACGAUGCGUAGCCGACCUGAGAGGGUGAUCGGCCACACUGGAACUGAGACACGGUCCAGACUCCUACGGGAGGCAGCAGUAGGGAAUCUUCCGCAAUGGGCGAAAGCCUGACGGAGCAACGCCGCGUGAGUGAUGAAGGUCUUCGGAUCGUAAAACUCUGUUAUUAGGGAAGAACAAAUGUGUAAGUAACUAUGCACGUCUUGACGGUACCUAAUCAGAAAGCCACGGCUAACUACGUG
Molecule: ribosomal RNA, 497 nt
Filed under: uncultured bacterium
Lineage: Bacteria
Description: partial 16S ribosomal RNA
Rfam family: Bacterial small subunit ribosomal RNA
Source: RNAcentral